Transfer RNA from Gasterosteus aculeatus (three-spined stickleback), 82 nucleotides. It matches the Rfam family "tRNA". From Rfam's summary of the family: Transfer RNA (tRNA) molecules are approximately 80 nucleotides in length. Their secondary structure includes four short double-helical elements and three loops (D, anti-codon, and T loops). Further hydrogen bonds mediate the characteristic L-shaped molecular structure. tRNAs have two regions of fundamental functional importance: the anti-codon, which is responsible for specific mRNA codon recognition, and the 3' end, to which the tRNAs corresponding amino acid is attached (by aminoacyl-tRNA synthetases). tRNAs cope with the degeneracy of the genetic code in two manners: having more than one tRNA (with a specific anti-codon) for a particular amino acid; and 'wobble' base-pairing, i.e. permitting non-standard base-pairing at the 3rd anti-codon position. The record is from Rfam. Lineage: Eukaryota; Metazoa; Chordata; Actinopteri; Perciformes; Gasterosteidae.
GACGAGAUGGCCGAGUGUUUAAGGCGAUGGACUGCUAAUCCAUUGAGCUCUGCACGCAUGGGUUCGAAUCCCAUUCUCGUCG